RNAcentral lists this ribosomal RNA (375 nucleotides) under uncultured Serratia sp. RNAcentral describes it as "bacterial SSU rRNA". It matches the Rfam family "Bacterial small subunit ribosomal RNA", at positions 521 to 895 of the family's 1533-position model. The record is from RNAcentral. Lineage: Bacteria; Pseudomonadati; Pseudomonadota; Gammaproteobacteria; Enterobacterales; Yersiniaceae.
UAAUACGGAGGGUGCAAGCGUUAAUCGGAAUUACUGGGCGUAAAGCGCACGCAGGCGGUUUGUUAAGUCAGAUGUGAAAUCCCCGGGCUCAACCUGGGAACUGCAUUUGAAACUGGCAAGCUGGAGUCUCGUAGAGGGGGGUAGAAUUCCAGGUGUAGCGGUGAAAUGCGUAGAGAUCUGGAGGAAUACCGGUGGCGAAGGCGGCCCCCUGGACGAAGACUGACGCUCAGGUGCGAAAGCGUGGGGAGCAAACAGGAUUAGAUACCCUGGUAGUCCACGCUGUAAACGAUGUCGAUUUGGAGGUUGUGCCCUUGAGGCGUGGCUUCCGGAGCUAACGCGUUAAAUCGACCGCCUGGGGAGUACGGCCGCAAGGUU